AUUGAACGCUGGCGGCAUGCCUUACACAUGCAAGUCGAACGCGAAAGCGGGGCAACCCGCAAGUAGAGUGGCGAACGGGUGAGUAAUACAUCGGAACGUACCCAGUAGCGGGGGAUAACCUCUCGAAAGAGAAGCUACUACCGCAUACGACCUAUGGGUGAAAGCGGGGGAUCGCAAGACCUCGCACUAUUGGAGCGGCCGAUGUCGGAUUAGCUAGUUGGCGGGGUAACGGCCCACCAAGGCGACGAUCCGUAGCUGGUCUGAGAGGACGACCAGCCACACUGGAACUGAGACACGGUCCAGACUCCUACGGGAGGCAGCAGUGGGGAAUUUUGGACAAUGGGCGCAAGCCUGAUCCAGCCAUGCCGCGUGAGUGAAGAAGGCCU
RNAcentral lists this ribosomal RNA (386 nucleotides) under uncultured bacterium. RNAcentral's name for it is "bacterial SSU rRNA". It matches the Rfam family "Bacterial small subunit ribosomal RNA", at positions 29 to 417 of the family's 1533-position model. The record is from RNAcentral.